CCCGCACAAGCGGUGGAGUAUGUGGUUUAAUUCGAUGCAACGCGAAGAACCUUACCUGGUCUUGACAUCCCGGAGACCCUUAGGAAACUAGGGGGUGCUUCCAUCUGGAAGAAUCUGGAGACAGGUGCUGCAUGGCUGUCGUCAGCUCGUGUCGUGAGAUGUUGGGUUAAGUCCCGCAACGAGCGCAACCCUUGCCUUUAGUUGCCAGCAGUUCGGCUGGGCACUCUAAAGGGACUGCCGGUGUUAAACCGGAGGAAGGUGGGGAUGACGUCAAGUCCUCAUGGCCUUUAUGACCAGGGCUACACACGUACUACAAUGGCCGAUACAAAGGGCAGCGACACUGCGAGGUGAAGCCAAUCCCGUAAAAUCGGUCUCAGUCCGGAUUGGAGUCUGCAACUCGACUCCAUGAAGUUGGAAUCGCUAGUAAUCGCGCAUCAGCCAUGGCGCGGUGAAUACGUUCCCGGGCCUU
RNAcentral lists this ribosomal RNA (469 nucleotides) under uncultured Desulfobulbus sp. RNAcentral describes it as "bacterial SSU rRNA". It matches the Rfam family "Bacterial small subunit ribosomal RNA", at positions 920 to 1382 of the family's 1533-position model. The record is from RNAcentral. Lineage: Bacteria; Pseudomonadati; Thermodesulfobacteriota; Desulfobulbia; Desulfobulbales; Desulfobulbaceae.